RNAcentral lists this unclassified non-coding RNA (253 nucleotides) under uncultured Halomonadaceae bacterium. RNAcentral's name for it is "contains 16S-23S intergenic spacer region". It matches the Rfam family "Bacterial small subunit ribosomal RNA", at positions 524 to 776 of the family's 1533-position model. Lineage: Bacteria; Pseudomonadati; Pseudomonadota; Gammaproteobacteria; Oceanospirillales; Halomonadaceae. The record is from RNAcentral.
UACGGAGGGUGCAAGCGUUAAUCGGAAUUACUGGGCGUAAAGCGCGCGUAGGCGGCGUGAUAAGCCGGUUGUGAAAGCCCCGGGCUCAACCUGGGAACGGCAUCCGGAACUGGCAAGCUAGAGUUUUGAAGAGGGUGGUAGAAUUUCCAGUGUAGCGGUGAAAUGCGUAGAGAUCGGGAGGAAUACCAGUGGCGAAGGCGGCCUUCUGGACUGAUACUGACACUGAGGUGCGAAAGCGUGGGUAGCAAACAGG